UACAGAGGUCUCAAGCGUUGUUCGGAUUCAUUGGGCGUAAAGGGUGCGUAGGCGGCGCGGUAAGUCGGGUGUGAAAUCUCGGAGCUUAACUCCGAAACUGCAUUCGAUACUGCCGUGCUUGAGGACUGGAGAGGAGACUGGAAUUUACGGUGUAGCGGUGAAAUGCGUAGAUAUCGGGAGGAACACCUGUGGCGAAGGCGGCCCCCCUGGUUGGAUACGUGACGCUGAUACGCGAAAGCGUGGGGGAGCAAACAAGGG
Molecule: ribosomal RNA, 258 nt
Filed under: uncultured bacterium
Lineage: Bacteria
Description: partial 16S ribosomal RNA
Rfam family: Bacterial small subunit ribosomal RNA
Source: RNAcentral